UGUCUUUGGCCGAAUUCGUGUCUUCCCCGAACCCGCGAGCCCCCUCUUCUCGACCCCUACCCUAUUCGCCCCUCUUCUUCAUUUCUCACCGCGCCGCCCCCGUUCGCUCCCACCGGGUGUUCGCCUGCUAGCCGCUCCGGCCUCUUCCUACGAGAGUAGGCAGCCCGUGCCACCGUCCACUGCUUGCUGGCGCCGCCCUCCUCGAUCACUCCGUGGCAACGCAGGCCGCAUGUCCCAAAUCGAGAACCCGAACAAUUGGAUCCAAUCGCAGGAAGAGGAGAAAAGUAGUGAGACGGAAUAAGAAAUCAUGCAUCCUUUGAUGCGAUCCUUCGCUCAGCGUGCGGCAUUAGCCGCCGGCUGGCGACGGGGCGGCUGCGGCUCCGGGAAGAAGGGGGCGCUUCCGCUGGCUCAGCAGGAGGUGCGCGCCCAGAUGCAUGCGCUGGAGGAGCUCGCGCAGGUCCGCCCCCAUGGGCCUGGGUUUCACGAGCAUCGUUUGGAGCGGCGCCAUGUUUGGUGGUGUCCUCUUCGCUGACAUCGCCUUCAAGUUUAAGCCGCCUCCAAAGACUCUAGAGGAAUUAUGGUUAGAGGCUCGUCGUCAGGAACAAGUCUGAGGCAAAUGUAGGCUCAUGUCCGUGUCCGGGUGGUGCUGUCUCUUCCUCACAAUUAUCUGAGGCAAAUGAUAGGAAACUUGGAGCAAGAGUGUUUUUUUUGUCAGGGCUCUACUACUCUUCUUGAUACUAGUAGAAAGAUGAGUAUUGAUGUCCAGGGUGUUCGUGCCAGCAUUGUAAUAUCCUUGCAGUUUGUCUUAUGAAUAAAAGAAUUGUUUAUCACUGA
Molecule: long non-coding RNA, 834 nt
Organism: Panicum virgatum (switchgrass)
Lineage: Eukaryota; Viridiplantae; Streptophyta; Magnoliopsida; Poales; Poaceae
Exons: 2
Source: RefSeq, a predicted model, not a curated record